CAAGAAUAGAACUAGUUUGAUUAGUUGCAAAUGGCACAAAGAACAUUAUAUUUGCAUCAUAUAUAUGUACUUGCUGAUUUGAUAUACAAGCUGUAAUCCAUCCAUACUAUUGAUAUACAAGAGUGGAUGGAAAAAUGGGAAUAAAGUUGAUUAUAUUCUUUGUUUAUUUGAAUAUAUAAUAAUUAGAACAUAAGCUGGCACUAGAUGAAACUCUAAGAAAGGCUUGUGUAAGUACUCUUAAAUCCUUAACUAGAGGUUUACAAUUAAUUACAAGUUUUGAGAUAUGAAUUAACUUUUGAUAAAGAGUACUCUAUUGCCCGAAAUUAUAGUUAAUUUCCGAUACAAAUCUAGACUAGUCAGACUCCAAAGUGGUAGUCAUAAAGCGGGUCCAAACAUCGGGUGGAAAGCUAAAAAAAAAAUACUAAAAAGUGUUAGAGAAUCAAUUUAGACAUCCCAAGACAAAUAAGGUUAGGCCUUGAACAUUUUCAAACUAAAACAAAGAGGAAAAAGAAGAAAAAAAGACGAGGAAGUGAUCUUAUUUUCUACAACAUUGCCACUUGCAAGAGAAUUCUCGAGGUAGUUCUAAUAAGCCGUAAUUAGGAUUUUGAGUUUAUGGGUUCUGUAUUUUAGGAAAUGUAGUUUACUGGAUUUUAAAUAAAUAAUUUAUGCAUAUAAUUUUUUUUUAAACACAAAUAGAGGGUCUAGGCCAAAACUGUUGAGUUUUACCGAACCUAUACACAAGCUUGUGGCUCCGCCCCUAUAAAUAUACCAUCAAUGUUGCUGAAGAGAACUUGAACAUAUUAAAGUGGUUUUACUCUUAGCAGUUAUUUUUUUAUCUCGGACCCGAUGUUCGGUAUCCGCUUUCUGGCUAAUACGAAUUCGUGCUGCAUAAGGCAUAUUAAAAAAGCAAGCGACCUUACCAAAAACAAUUUCAUACUCACUAAUUAAACCUGUGACUUAUGAUUAAGAGUGGAUCUUGUCCAAAAUCUCACAACCCUCUUGGUGAUACUCUUUGACACUCCUUUCUUCACCGUAAUGUACCUAAUCUUAUUUAUCUGAAUGGUGAGGAAAAGGAAGUUAGCAGCAUUCUCAAAGCAAGUAGUUUUCUGCUAUGUUGCUUGGACUCUUCAAAGAUGUUGUUGGAUGUAUGUCGAAUCCUCCAAAUUUAAUGUAUUUUUGGAGAACCCGGCACAGAUGCGGCAACACUUUUGGAGAGUUCUAUGUGCAGCGUUCUUUUUGCUUGUAUCUGCUGAUUAUACCCCAAUUAUUGUUUGAUCAGUAUAUAUUGCCUCUUUGCCGUUUAUCCUUAGUUAUAUUUUUUCUCACUUUUUCAAGGAGAGUUUGCUUAUUGCUUUCUUUUCAUUGUUCUUGAGUCGAGGGUUUAUCGGAAAUAACCUCUCUAUAUUUAUAAGGCAUAGGCACGGUCAGCGUACGCAUUACCCUCACCGGAUCCCACUUGUAAAAUUCCACCGGAUUUGUUGUUGUUGUACUUUUCAAGGAGUGUGCCUCAAUUAGCAAAUUCUUGUAUUCAUUACUUUGUGGAAAACAUCUAAAGACUAAUUUUUGUUUGAUUAAACUUUUAUGUUUGAAGCCCUAACUCUAAUGUCAAUGCAUAAUUAAAAUAUCCUUUGAAAAUCAACUUGAUCUUUUAACCUUGCAACAUUGACCUUUUCCACGUCCUAUAUGGCAAUUUCUACCAAGAAUGACUUCAAUUCAAACAUCUAGACAACAACAACAACAACCAAAGCCUCAGACUCAAACAAAUUAGGGUCGGCUAUAUAAUUUUCACUAACCAUGUUACUUCAUAUAACUCAUCUCCGGCCAUACAAUAGGAAGUAAAAUAAUAUGUAAUAAUAGUUAUAAUACACAAAAUAAUAAACGAAUAAUAGUAAUGAGUAGCUAAUAAUAAUAAUAAUAAAAAUAGGGUAAAAUAAUUUUAGACUACAAUUUAGAGACGCGAAAGAAAUGAAGAAGUAGAAGUAUAAUGAGUAGCUCAACUAAUUAACGUUAAGAUGAUUUCAAACUUAAUUAAUCCUCUUUCUUUAAACCGAAUGCAGUUGUCAAACUAGCUCGAACCCAUUCUUUCUAUAUAUUAUUGACUAAUAUGUACCCGUAGAAUUACUAAACAGUAAUUACAUCGAUAAUAUACAAAUACACAGAAAGAGAUAGCGGGAGAGAAGAGAGAGGGAAUUACAUGUAAUUGUAGCUUCAUAGCAUCCCCUUGAAAAGGCGUUUCUCUUCAGGUACAUGGUAAAUUAAGGACUAGAGAGAUCCAGUGAUCUGUUUAAGGAGAAGCUGCAAAGGCACAAAAUUAAGAUAAGCAUAUAGUUUUAUAGCAUUAUUUAAGUAAACAUUAAAGUUGAUAGAUAACCUGUUAAAGCAUAGAAAUUCAGGAGUAUAUAUCUUACAAAUCAAGCGAAAACCAACAAUCUGGACAUUAUUCUAUGCUUAGCGCUAAUCUUGUGAAUACAUAAACUAUUAAUCUCAGAUCUUCUGUAAUCUGACAAAAGCUGCACAACAAAAGAGGACUGCAAAAGUAGCACUCGGUUAUGUGAAUCAUGACCCCACCUUCCAAUUUCUUUCCUUUUAUAGAAGUUUGUUUUUGCAAGAAAUAUCCCCAAUAAGAAAACCUAAAUUAUGAGAUACGGAGAUAAUUUAGAAGAAAUGGAAGAAAGAGAGCGAAAGAGCGGUGAAGGUGAUGACGGAAGCAUAGAGAGCACAAAUGAAUUGAGAUGCUUUUUUUUUUGCAGUUUAAUUGAUUCAGUGCCCUCUCCAAUCCCAGAUUUAGCAGCAUGAUCAUCAUCUGUGCUCUCUAUCUUCUGUCAACAAUCUCACACCGACUCUUGCCCUUCUUCCAUACAAAGUAGAAGUAGCGCCGCAGUACCGGUUCAUUUGACCUUGAUACUUCAUAAAUUGAUAUGUAAAAUUCUAUUCAAAUUGUAACAAAUAAUAGGUCUGAACCUAUAAUAAAAUAAAAUUAUGCGCAUAGAAGUUAAAUCAUGCAUCGCUUUUGAUUCUAUGUACAGAAAAGAGUUGUGGAAAGAAAAGCAGCAAAUAUAGUAGUUGAUGUUUUAUUCUUUUAUCACGAACAAGAAAAUGAAGGGCAAGAUUUUUCUUUGAGGAUGGUGGGUGGGUGAGUGAUUGUGGCUGGUGUUUAAUGCAGAACGAGUUGUGGUAGGGCUACUUUUUGGGAUGGGGAAAUAUAAUAAUUUGUGGUGGACUGCCCCAUUUAG
Molecule: long non-coding RNA, 3233 nt
Filed under: Nicotiana tabacum (common tobacco)
Lineage: Eukaryota; Viridiplantae; Streptophyta; Magnoliopsida; Solanales; Solanaceae
Description: long non-coding RNA (NTAB_LNC001745)
Source: RNAcentral